GGUCCUGCUCAUUAAUGCUUGUCUGCCUCCUUCAUCAUUCAGGUUAGGAUUUCAUGUGGGGGCAGUUUCAAAAGGAAUCUUCUCUCAUUUGGCUGAUUUCAUGGAAUAAGAUUUAUUUUUCCUGUCCUCAUUUUCUUGUAAUAACAGAUGGAUUGUUUCACAGUAAACUAAUGCAUUACUUUUGGACCCAUGUUUUUAAAUUGCUUUUGACUAACAUGUAUCACUUUUUUUAAACAGUUCAUUUUGAGUAACUGAAGAUCAGAAUUGGAUUAAUAAUUAGUGAUUAAAUGGAUGAUUAUUUGUUUAUGAGCUUUGACAGGUUUGUUACAGCUACAUCCUGUUACAGCAUUUGUUUAGUCCAAAGUGCAGCCAUCUCAGCAUCUAUGGUUGUUACCUUUAGGGAAACACAGACUAGAGGAGUUCAUGGUAGUAAAUUGUGGUUCAUCCAACUGCUUUACAAAAAAACAACAGUUUUUGUGAACUGGCUUUCACAAAAACAACAACAGAAAAGACCACUGCUUUACAUUUUAUACCAUACUGCCAAGACUCCUGAACUCUGUGGACUCAGGGCUGUCAGCUGCAGAGGGUGACACAGGGCCAGGGCCAUCAGCUGCAGAGGGUGACACAUUGUCACUCAGCUGCCCUCCUGAGCUGGAAGCAGCAGUGGUAGAAUAGGACACAGGCUCUCAGGCUGACUGGGACCAGGAUCUGCAUGCUGGUUUUCCAUGUCCCUUUCUGCAGGUUUUCAUGGCAUUUCUAUAACCCCAAAGCAUGAGAGGAGUCUCAUAAGUACAACAGGUUUUCUAUGGUUGGAAUGCCAUGAAUGGGAAGUAAGGCAUGAGUCAGGGGGUUAUUUCAGAUCUUUGUACAGCCAGGAAUGAAACCCUGCUGCUCUCUACUUUCUGAGCCAAACCCUUGACCUAGACCUGCCCUGACUCCUGUUUCAAUGCAGAUGGUUUCAGCCCUCUGUGUCUGCUAAGGCCCUUGAUACUUCCCAUUGGAUAUCUGAAACCCUAUAUAUUUUGUAUAUAUUUCAUAUGUGUGUAAAAUUCAAGCUGUGUGGCAACCUCUGCCAUUGGAUAUCCCACCAUGCCUGGUCUGUAGGUGAGAUCUCAGCUUGUGGUCAGGAGUGUCUAGAGGGAGAGAUGGAGACAAUAUUUUUGCUUAUAAAAUUGCUCAUAAAUGGGAAGAUAUUUGCAUCAAGCUGAAGCACUUGCAUCAAUCUCCCAAAAGCUUGAAGUACUGUUUUGCUGUCUAAAUUUUAGCUGUUAAUGCUGCCUUUGCUGUCAACCAGGUCAAAAAUCCUGCAUAAUUCCCCGUAUCUAUCUCACUUCCCAGCAGAGAGAAAUGAAACCCCUUCCUGGACCUUGGAUGAGCAUGAGGGAAAGACCCACUUUCUGAAGCCUCUAGGGAGGAACAUGGCCUCAACAGAGGGAGAAGGAGGUACUUAGCACUUACGAAAUGCAAGCUCAGGGCAGGCUGUGAGGAACAUCUACACUUAGAGAAGUCUUUCUGGAAAGCCAGUGGAAAUCAUUUGCUCAAAUAUUAGUGAUUUGUGAGAUAAUCUAUUAUAGAUUAAUCAUUUCAGUCUUAUGGUACAAUGUCAAAAAUAAAUUGGGGUUAUGAAGCUGGAGGGGAGCCACUUGGGGGUCGUGUGUUCUCACUGACACUCCUUAUUUGACUUUGAAAACAGUGUCAUGACGAGAUUUUUGAAGCUGAUUGUUACCCCAUGGAAUCCAAAUCACAAGGAGAACAGAGAGCAGGCACAUCCGUGAAAAGGGUGGCUGGUUGGGAUCAUGUCUGUGAAGCAGCACAGUCACCAAGGAGCAGGUUGGAGAAGAAACAGCACUUUUGUACCCCUGGCAUGAGACAGGGGGGCCCUCAGGACUCAGGCACCCACUCUGGUUGGUGGGGUACAAACAAAUCCCAUGGAGAACCAAGAUGCUCCCACAAAGCAUAAAAUAUCU
This is a long non-coding RNA of Melospiza georgiana, 1967 nucleotides long. RefSeq lists it as uncharacterized. The record is from RefSeq and is a predicted model, not a curated record. The transcript has 4 exons. NCBI's taxonomy places the organism in Eukaryota, Metazoa, Chordata, Aves, Passeriformes, Passerellidae.